CCUGGAUUCAGCGGCGGACGGGUGAGUAAUGCCUAGGAAUCUGCCUGGUAGUGGGGGAUAACGUCCGGAAACGGGCGCUAAUACCGCAUACGUCCUGAGGGAGAAAGUGGGGGAUCUUCGGACCUCACGCUAUCAGAUGAGCCUAGGUCGGAUUAGCUAGUUGGUGGGGUAAAGGCCUACCAAGGCGACGAUCCGUAACUGGUCUGAGAGGAUGAUCAGUCACACUGGAACUGAGACACGGUCCAGACUCCUACGGGAGGCAGCAGUGGGGAAUAUUGGACAAUGGGCGAAAGCCUGAUCCAGCCAUGCCGCGUGUGUGAAGAAGGUCUUCGGAUUGUAAAGCACUUUAAGUUGGGAGGAAGGGCAGUAAGUUAAUACCUUGCUGUUUUGACGUUACCAACAGAAUAAGCACCGGCUAACUUCGUGCCAGCAGCCGCGGUAAUACGAAGGGUGCAAGCGUUAAUCGGAAUUACUGGGCGUAAAGCGCGCGUAGGUGGUUCAGCAAGUUGGAUGUGAAAUCCCCGGGCUCAACCUGGGAACUGCAUCCAAA
RNAcentral lists this ribosomal RNA (550 nucleotides) under Pseudomonas aeruginosa. RNAcentral describes it as "bacterial SSU rRNA". It matches the Rfam family "Bacterial small subunit ribosomal RNA", at positions 85 to 631 of the family's 1533-position model. Lineage: Bacteria; Pseudomonadati; Pseudomonadota; Gammaproteobacteria; Pseudomonadales; Pseudomonadaceae. The record is from RNAcentral.